GAUGAACGCUGGCGGCGUGCCUAAUACAUGCAAGUCGAGCGAACAGACGAGGAGCUUGCUCCUCUGACGUUAGCGGCGGACGGGCGAGUAACACGUGGAUAACCUACCUAUAAGACUGGGAUAACUUCGGGAAACCGGAUCUAAUACCGGAUAAUAUAUUCAACCGCAUGGUUCAAUAGUUCAAGACGGUUUUGCUGUCACAUAUAGAUGGAUCCGCGCCGCAUUAGCUAGUUGGUAAGGUAACGGCUUACCAAGGCAACGAUGCGUAGCCGACCUGAGAGGGUGAUCGGCCACACUGGAACUGAGACACGGUCCAGACUCCUACGGGAGGCAGCAGUAGGGAAUCUUCCGCAAAGGGCGAAAGCCUGACGGAGCAACGCCGCGUGAGUGAUGAAGGUCUUCGGAUCGUAAAACUCUGUUAUUAGGGAAGAACAAAUGUGUAAGUAACUAUGCACGUCUUGACGGUACCUAAUCAGAAAGCCACGGCUAACUACGUG
RNAcentral lists this ribosomal RNA (497 nucleotides) under uncultured bacterium. RNAcentral describes it as "partial 16S ribosomal RNA". It matches the Rfam family "Bacterial small subunit ribosomal RNA", at positions 28 to 507 of the family's 1533-position model. The record is from RNAcentral.